GACGAACGCUGGCGGCGUGCCUAAAACAUGCAAGUCGAACGAGGUAGCAAUACCUAGUGGCGAACGGCGGAGUAAUACAUGAACAACGUGCCCUAAAGCCCGGGACAAACGCAGAAAUGCCAUAAAUACCGGAUGUGGUCCAGACCUGGCAUCAGGAUUGGAUUAAAUGGUUUUUCGCUUUAGGAGCGGUUCAUGGCCUAUCAGGUAGUUGGUGGGGUAAGUGGCCUACCAAGCCGACGACAGGUAGCGGGUCUGAGAGGAUGAUCCGCUCGAGUGGGACUGAGACACGGCCCACACACCUACGGGUGGCAGCAGUUGGGAAUCUUGCACAAUGGGGGAAACCCUGAUGCAGCGACGCCGCGUGAAGGAUGAAGGCCUUC
RNAcentral lists this ribosomal RNA (380 nucleotides) under uncultured bacterium. RNAcentral's name for it is "bacterial SSU rRNA". It matches the Rfam family "Bacterial small subunit ribosomal RNA", at positions 28 to 419 of the family's 1533-position model. The record is from RNAcentral.